GCCGAUAUGGUGGAAUGGUAGACACGAGAGAUUCAAAAUCUCUUGCUUCACGGCGUCCCGGUUCGAGUCCGGGUAUCGGUACCA
This 84-nucleotide transfer RNA is filed under the name Rhodobacterales bacterium 56_14_T64. Its description in RNAcentral is "tRNA-Leu". It matches the Rfam family "tRNA". From Rfam's summary of the family: Transfer RNA (tRNA) molecules are approximately 80 nucleotides in length. Their secondary structure includes four short double-helical elements and three loops (D, anti-codon, and T loops). Further hydrogen bonds mediate the characteristic L-shaped molecular structure. tRNAs have two regions of fundamental functional importance: the anti-codon, which is responsible for specific mRNA codon recognition, and the 3' end, to which the tRNAs corresponding amino acid is attached (by aminoacyl-tRNA synthetases). tRNAs cope with the degeneracy of the genetic code in two manners: having more than one tRNA (with a specific anti-codon) for a particular amino acid; and 'wobble' base-pairing, i.e. permitting non-standard base-pairing at the 3rd anti-codon position. The record is from RNAcentral. Lineage: Bacteria; Pseudomonadati; Pseudomonadota; Alphaproteobacteria; Rhodobacterales.